This 253-nucleotide ribosomal RNA is filed under the name uncultured bacterium. Its description in RNAcentral is "partial 16S ribosomal RNA". It matches the Rfam family "Bacterial small subunit ribosomal RNA", at positions 524 to 776 of the family's 1533-position model. The record is from RNAcentral.
UACGUAGGUGGCAAGCGUUGUUCGGAAUUAUUGGGCGUAAAGGGCGCGUAGGCGGUUUGUUAAGUCGGUCGUGAAAGCCCGGGGCUCAACCCCGGAGGGUCGACCGAUACUGGCAGGCUAGAGUACAGAAGAGGUAACUGGAAUUCCCGGUGUAGCGGUGAAAUGCGUAGAUAUCGGAAGGAACACCAGAGGCGAAGGCGGGUUACUGGGCUGAUACUGACGCUGAUGCGCGAAAGCUAGGGGAGCAAACGGG